CCGGUAUCUGAGAUGGUGGAGGAGUGGUUGUCCUCUGACCAGCUGAACCAAUGCAGCAAGAAGUAAAAGGCUGGAGACGCAGGGGGAUCGUCGAAAAUCAUCUGGCUCUUUGACUGCUAACCCAUGCUAAUCAUUCAUGCGGGCAUUCAUAUACAUAUGAGGUAAUCCAAGACUGAGAAAAGAGACAACCGGAUGGGGGAAAAAAGGUGCCAGUUACACCAAAGGUUAUAUAUUCUCCACUUCUGAAGGUAAAUAUGUCUAGUGGAUUCCCUUCGGCUAUUUAAGAGUAUCUUUUGUACUUCCAAUGAAUAUGUGAUCUCUAGGCCUGAGAACCAUUAAGGAACCAAGCUUGUAGUUGCAGGACGUUAAAACUGGGGUAAAGCGUCGGACCCACAAGCUGAGACAAUAGUCGAGGUUUGAUCGGGAGCCACCACAGAGGGCAAGAGGUGAGUUUGAAGAAAUAAGGAAAGCAAACUUUUCUUGGCAAAGUUGGUG
Molecule: non-coding RNA, 495 nt
Organism: Caretta caretta (loggerhead turtle)
Lineage: Eukaryota; Metazoa; Chordata; Testudines; Cheloniidae
Source: RefSeq, a predicted model, not a curated record